This 150-nucleotide small nuclear RNA is filed under the name Notamacropus eugenii (tammar wallaby). RNAcentral's name for it is "U1 spliceosomal RNA (ENSMEUG00000017889.1)". It matches the Rfam family "U1 spliceosomal RNA". Rfam says of the family: U1 is a small nuclear RNA (snRNA) component of the spliceosome (involved in pre-mRNA splicing). Its 5' end forms complementary base pairs with the 5' splice junction, thus defining the 5' donor site of an intron. There are significant differences in sequence and secondary structure between metazoan and yeast U1 snRNAs, the latter being much longer (568 nucleotides as compared to 164 nucleotides in human). The record is from RNAcentral. Lineage: Eukaryota; Metazoa; Chordata; Mammalia; Diprotodontia; Macropodidae.
GUAAUUUCCUGGAAGGGGAGACACUGUGAUCAGGAAAGCAAUUUUCCCAAGAUGAACCCCAGCCAUUUUCUAGUGUCUCCAAUGACCCCUUCAAUUUCUCACGGGUACGAAGCUUGACUGUACAGUUUGUGGUAGUGGAGGCUACAUUCA